Molecule: ribosomal RNA, 484 nt
Filed under: uncultured bacterium
Lineage: Bacteria
Description: partial 16S ribosomal RNA
Rfam family: Bacterial small subunit ribosomal RNA
Source: RNAcentral
AUUGAACGCUGGCGGCAGGCCUAACACAUGCAAGUCGAGCGGAUGAAGGGAGCUUGCUCCUGGAUUCAGCGGCGGACGGGUGAGUAAUGCCUAGGAAUCUGCCUGGUAGUGGGGGAUAACGUCCGGAAACGGGCGCUAAUACCGCAUACGUCCUGAGGGAGAAAGUGGGGGAUCUUCGGACCUCACGCUAUCAGAUGAGCCUAGGUCGGAUUAGCUAGUUGGUGGGGUAAAGGCCUACCAAGGCGACGAUCCGUAACUGGUCUGAGAGGAUGAUCAGUCACACUGGAACUGAGGCACGGUCCAGACUCCUACGGGAGGCAGCAGUGGGGAGUAUUGGACAAUGGGCGAAAGCCUGAUCCAGCCAUGCCGCGUGUGUGAAGAAGGUCUUCGGAUUGUAAAGCACUUUAAGUUGGGAGGAAGGGCAGUAAGUUAAUACCUUGCUGUUUUGACGUUACCAACAGAAUAAGCACCGGCUAACUUCGUG